Molecule: ribosomal RNA, 501 nt
Filed under: uncultured bacterium
Lineage: Bacteria
Description: partial 16S ribosomal RNA
Rfam family: Bacterial small subunit ribosomal RNA
Source: RNAcentral
AUUGAACGCUGGCGGCAGGCUUAACACAUGCAAGUCGAGCGGUUGAGGUUGCUUCGGUAACUGAGCUAGCGGCGGACGGGUGAGUAAUGCUUAGGAAUCUGCCUAUUAGUGGGGGACAACAUUCCGAAAGGAAUGCUAAUACCGCAUACGCCCUACGGGGGAAAGCAGGGGAUCUUCGGACCUUGCGCUAAUAGAUGAGCCUAAGUCAGAUUAGCUAGUUGGUGGGGUAAAGGCCUACCAAGGCGACGAUCUGUAGCGGGUCUGGGAGGAUGAUCCGCCACACUGGGACUGAGACACGGCCCAGACUCCUACGGGAGGCAGCAGUGGGGAAUAUUGGACAAUGGGCGAAAGCCUGAUCCAGCCAUGCCGCGUGUGUGAAGAAGGCCUUUUGGUUGUAAAGCACUUUAAGCGAGGAGGAGGCUACUUGGAUUAAUACUCUAGGAUAGUGGACGUUACUCGCAGAAUAAGCACCGGCUAACUCUGUGCCAGCCGCCGCAGUAA